AUGGAUGAGAAAUGCGGAUAUGG
Molecule: non-coding RNA, 23 nt
Filed under: Cricetulus griseus (Chinese hamster)
Lineage: Eukaryota; Metazoa; Chordata; Mammalia; Rodentia; Cricetidae
Source: RNAcentral